RNAcentral lists this long non-coding RNA (1198 nucleotides) under Numida meleagris (helmeted guineafowl). RNAcentral's name for it is "lncRNA (ENSNMEG00000022600.1)". The record is from RNAcentral. Lineage: Eukaryota; Metazoa; Chordata; Aves; Galliformes; Numididae.
UUCUCCACCAAAAAUGUCAUACACCAACUUUUAAGUCACCCGCAACACAGUUGAGGAGAAAUUCUAGUUUUUAAUUGGUUUUCCAGCACGAAGUAAAUUCUCACAGCCACUACAACCUAACGUUAUGCCAGCCAUCUUUUCUGGAAAACUUGCCAGUCACGGGUAUGCACAUACCCAGAUCCCUGCUUUUUCAGAGGAGCUAUGACAGCUUCUCCAUCCUUAUCCAACACUCUACUGUCACCAAAAAAAAAAAAAAGUGUCUUUGCACAGACAAAUAAGGAGAUAAGAAAUUUUCUGACAAACUGUUACAGGAAUCAGUCCUUUUUUAUGUCAGUAUGCAGCAUUUUAGGAACAGGGCAGUAGCUCCUUCUGGAGUUGGUGGCCCAGGAACGCUCCAUCUUCCCUUAUUUAUUCCAAAAUGGAAAACUUAUUCUAUACUAACUUAAAAAGAUUCACCAUUGUCAAACAGGUCUUUGAUUACUGUUUGACCUCCUCCAGUGAAACCUUCCAAAAUCCCUAGCAUCCACGCUACUGAAGACUUGCCCUGCCCUGCAAUAUUUUGAUUGAAACUAGCUGUACAUGAAAUGGAAUUUUUUCUUCAGAAGCCGGAUUAUGUCUGUGGCUUCGAAUACCUAGGGAACAUCCACCUGUGCAGCAGUGAAAAAGGCGAGAUCUCUCUCACAGGAGGGAUACCAGGAUCCUUCUCCUUAAUCUCCAUUUUUACCAAAGAACUAGAAGUAAUGCUAUUGUUAUAUGAUACAUUUAGUUCCUUUUUGGUUUUUUUUAGUUUACACUUCUGUUACUUAUUGAAAUAAAACUUCCUAUAUGGAACUUCCUAUAAUAAUCAAUACUUCAUGUAUUGUAAUAGAUCCUGAGGACUGCAUUGAUGCACCGUUUACUUUUUCUACAUUGAUAGAUGAAAACUACAGUAUAUACGCUACUAACACCAGUCUACCAUGCCUGCCAAUUGAAGGGGCAUACUUGUUCUCCUCAGCGUGCUGUUGUAUUUAUGAAUUAUCAUUAUACCAGUCCAUAAACCAGUAUGAUGAGAUUUUAUCAGUACUACCUAAAGAGUGCUGAUUGACCUUUGCCCAGAAGACUUCUCUUUAACAAGAACAAAGAUGAAGACAUCAAGAUAUUUACAUUAUGAACUUUACCAUUUUUAAUCAUUUUUCUGUAUAAAUUCACAAUAAAGACA